CGGCUAACGAGGCUGCUGCACUCCGGGUUCCCCAGCACCUUCCGUUUGGUCUUUGGCGCCCGCCUGUCGUCCCCAGAGCGCCUCUUUGGAUUUUCAAGAUCGUGAGAGGUAGCUGGCCAACCAGAAUUCUUAAGGUUCGAAGCCUGUACCCACUGCCGCCACUUGAGCCUGCCAAAGCACUGGUACAGCUGCUGCCCUCUCACUACUACCUCUAGAAACAGUCUUGCCAGUAGUGACAGCAGCGAGACCCAAUCACCCCGUUCUCGCCCUCCCUCAAGAAGCUCCAGAUGGCGUCUUCCAUGGGCGACGUGGCUGAUAGCACAGAACCAACGAAAUGUAUGUUUUCCUUCCAAGGGUUAGCUGAGUUGGCACAUCGGGAAUAUCAGGCAGGAGAUUUUGAGGCAGCUGAGAGACACUGCAUGCAGCUGUGGAGACAAGAGCCAGACAAUACUGGUGUGCUUUUAUUACUUUCAUCUAUACACUUCCAGUGUCGAAGGCUGGACAGAUCUGCUCACUUUAGCACUCUGGCAAUUAAACAGAACCCCUUUCUGGCAGAAGCCUAUUCGAAUUUGGGGAAUGUGUACAAGGAAAGAGGACAGUUGCAGGAAGCAGUUGAGCAUUACCGGCAUGCAUUGCGUCUCAAACCAGAUUUCAUCGAUGGUUAUAUUAACCUGGCAGCCGCAUUGGUAGCAGCAGGUGACAUGGAAGGGGCAGUACAAGCUUAUGUCUCUGCUCUUCAGUACAAUCCUGAUUUGUACUGUGUUCGCAGUGACCUGGGGAACCUGCUGAAAGCCCUGGGUCGCUUGGAAGAAGCAAAGGCAUGUUAUUUGAAAGCAAUUGAGACGCAACCGAACUUUGCAGUAGCUUGGAGUAAUCUUGGCUGUGUUUUCAACGCGCAAGGGGAAAUAUGGCUUGCAACUCAUCACUUUGAAAAGGCUGUCACCCUUGAUCCCAAUUUUCUGGAUGCUUAUAUCAAUUUAGGAAAUGUCUUGAAAGAGGCACGGAUUUUUGACAGAGCUGUGGCAGCUUACCUCCGUGCUCUAAGCUUGAGUCCCAAUCAUGCAGUGGUGCAUGGCAACCUGGCUUGUGUAUACCAUGAGCAAGGCCUGAUAGAUCUGUCAAUAGACACCUACAGGCGAGCUAUUGAACUGCAGCCACAUUUCCCUGAUGCUUACUGCAACCUAGCCAAUGCUCUUAAAGAGAAGGGCAGUGUUACUGAAGCAGAAGACUGUUAUAAUACAGCUCUUCAGCUGUGUCCCACACAUGCAGACUCUCUGAAUAAUCUUGCCAAUAUCAAACGAGAACAGGGGAACAUUGAAGAGGCAGUUUGCUUGUAUCGCAAAGCAUUAGAAGUCUUCCCAGAAUUUGCUGCUGCCCAUUCAAAUUUAGCAAGCGUACUGCAACAGCAGGGAAAACUGGAGGAAGUGCUGAUGCAUUAUAAGGAGGCUAUUCGAAUCAACCCUACCUUUGCUGAUGCCUACUCUAACAUGGGGAACACACUAAAAGAGAUGCAGGAUAUUCAGGGAGCCUUGCAGUGUUACACUCGUGCCAUUCAGAUUAACCCUGCAUUUGCAGAUGCCCACAGCAAUCUGGCUUCCAUUCACAAGGAUUUAGGGAAUAUUCCAGAAGCAAUAGCUUCUUACCACACUGCUUUGAAACUUAAACCUGAUUUUCCUGAUGCUUAUUGUAACUUGGCUCAUUGCCUGCAGAUUGUCUGUGAUUGGACAGACUAUGAUGAGCGAAUGAAGAAGUUGGUCAGUAUCGUGGCUGACCAGUUAGAGAAGAAUAGGUUGCCCUCUGUGCAUCCUCACCAUAGUAUGCUAUAUCCUCUUUCUCCUGGCUUCAGGAAGGCUAUUGCUGAGAAGCAUGGGAACCUCUGCUUGGAUAAGAUUAAUGCCCUUCAUAAACCACCAUAUGAACAUCCAAAGGACUUGCAGCUCAGCGAUGGUCGACUGCGUGUAGGAUAUGUGAGUUCAGACUUUGGGAAUCAUCCUACUUCUCACCUUAUGCAGUCUAUCCCAGGCAUGCACAAUCCUGGUAAAUUUGAAGUAUUCUGUUAUGCCCUGAGCCCAGAUGAUGGCACAAACUUCCGAGUGAAGGUGAUGGCAGAAGCCGAUCAUUUCCUUGAUCUUUCUCAGAUUCCAUGCAAUGGAAAAGCAGCUGAUCGCAUCCAUCAGGAUGGUAUACACAUCCUUGUAAAUAUGAAUGGUUAUACCAAGAAUGCUCGAAAUGAACUCUUUGCUCUCAGGCCAGCUCCUAUUCAGGCAAUGUGGCUGGGAUACCCUGGGACUAGUGGAACAUUUUUCAUGGAUUAUAUCAUCACCGAUCAGGAAGCUUCACCAGCUGAAGUUGCUGAACAAUAUUCUGAGAAAUUGGCUUAUAUGCCCCACACUUUCUUUAUCGGUGAUCAUGCUAAUAUGUUCCCUCAUCUGAAGAAAAAGGCAGUCAUCGAUUUUAAGUCCAAUGGACACAUUUAUGACAAUCGGAUUGUUCUGAAUGGCAUGGACCUCAAAGCAUUUCUUGAUAGUCUACCAGAUGUGAAAAUUGUCAAGAUGAAAUGUCCUGAUGGAGGAGACAAUGCAGACAGCAGUAAUACAGCUCUUAAUAUGCCAGUUAUUCCUAGGAAUACUGUUACAGAAGCAGUUAUUGAAAUGAUUAACAGAGGACAAACUCAGAUAACAAUUAAUGGAUACAGUAUUAGCAAUGGAGUGGCAACUACCCAGAUCAACAGUAAGGCUGCCACUGGAGAAGAGGUUCCCCGUACCAUUAUUGUAACCACACGUUCUCAGUACAGGUUACCGGAAGAUGCUAUUGUGUACUGUAACUUUAAUCAGUUAUAUAAAAUUGACCCUUCUACUUUGCAGAUGUGGGCAAAUAUUCUGAAGCGAGUUCCUAAUAGUGUGCUGUGGCUGUUGCGUUUUCCAGCAGCAGGAGAACCUAAUAUUCAACAGUAUGCACAAAACAUGGGCCUUUCCCAGAACCGUAUCAUUUUUUCAUCUGUUGCUCCUAAAGAGGAACAUGUUAGGAGAGGCCAGCUGGCUGAUGUCUGCCUGGACACUCCAGUCUGUAAUGGGCACACCACAGGGAUGGAUGUCCUCUGGGCAGGGACACCCGUGGUGACUAUGCCAGGAGAGACUCUUGUUUCUCGAGUUGCGGCUUCCCAGCUCACUUGUUUAGGCUGUCUUGAGCUUAUUGCUAAAACCAGACAAGAAUAUGAAGACAUAGCUGUGAAACUGGGAACUGAUCUAGAAUACAUGGAGGAGAUUCGUGGCAAAGUCUGGAAGCAGAGAUUAUCUAGCCCUCUGUUCAACAUCAAACAAUACACCAUGGAACUAGAGCAGCUCUAUCUACAGAUGUGGGAGCAUUAUGCUGCUGGCAACAAACCUGAACACAUUAUUAAGCCCAUUGAAGUCACUGAGUCAGCUUAAAGAAAAAUUAUGCACAGGCGAAUUACCCUGUACCUGAGCCUCAAAAAGGGAACUAGAUGAUGUACUUUUUACUUAUCUGUACAGUAUCACGUUGCAGAUGGGUGACAAGUAAUGAUAAUAGAAUAGCACAGCGGGACUUGCUUCCUGGGUGAUAGGGAGAGUCACAAAAGAUGGGAAACUGCUAUUCUACAAGAAAUCGCCAUAGAAUUUUUCAGCAACCAGGCUAUACAUAGGUCUGGAAGGUCUGCUCUCCAUUGGUCUUCCAUGGAAUGGUUAAUAUGGAGGGAGAUCAAGAUUGUCCAGUUGUUUUGUGAUUUCAUGGAUUGACUGAGUCUUCUGAAUUUUUUUCUUUAUAUUUGGGGUAUUAGAACUUUUAAAAAUGUUUGGUUUCAGGUGUUUUUGUUCAUGUGAAGUGUAUAUGAUUCUCUUUAGGGUAACGUUUUAAGCUAAAAUGUUGCUCCUUGUUUUAGUUUCUAAACUCUACAGAUUAGUGGGGAGUUUGCUGUUGUAGUCUUUUUAUACAUUUUAUAAACCACUUGAACCUAAAAAAAACACACACAAACAAAACUAAUCUCUGUUAGAACCCCAAAAGGAAUUUUGCCUUGCCCUCUAGCUGUACUAUGGCUCUGAGCAGAAGCAGUUCUCAUAAUUGUUUAGAGUCAUGAUGCUAGUAUAAUUGAAUUUCUGGGAGUAGAGAUUAUAUAAUUGUUUUCUGAAGUGAUAUAUAAAUAAAGAAUGUUUCUUUGA
Molecule: RNA transcript, 4175 nt
Organism: Hipposideros armiger (great roundleaf bat)
Lineage: Eukaryota; Metazoa; Chordata; Mammalia; Chiroptera; Hipposideridae
Gene name: UDP-N-acetylglucosamine--peptide N-acetylglucosaminyltransferase 110 kDa subunit pseudogene
Exons: 2
Source: RefSeq, a predicted model, not a curated record